GCAGGUGCAAAGAGUUCUUUAUUCCACUAUACAAACAAUACCAAUACUUGGAGGAAAUGUACGAAAGAUGAAUAUUGAGCAGGUAAGCAUUGAGCUUCCAAUACAGAAAAUUAAAGGGAUCAAACAGCCCAAAAUUGACAAUGAAAGUGGAACGGUCUCUUCACGCAAUUGUUAUUCAUAAUGUUUACUUAUCUCUACGUUUAACAACUUUGUAUUUGUGACAUGUGAACAAGAACAUUAAAGGUAGAAAUUUACAGCCAUUUUGGCAUUGUCAAUCAUAAUUACAAGCUCUGUCCUUUGCACCUGGCAGUCAGCAUAGAGAAAAAAUACAGAGGAUAAAAUAAAUAAUGUUUAUAUAGAAUCAACUUAUUAGGCAGUGAUUUGAAAUUAUACAGAGGGCAUAUACCAGUAUUGACAUACAAAGUAAUAUUGACAGAAAUAAGAUGUGAACAGGGACCUGUUUAACCACACUUACAAACUAGGUAGGAGAUACAUUAACUGCAAUCUAAAAGGACAGUAGAGGUCUCAUUAACUGAAUAGAAUCUCAAUAUAACAUUGUUGUUAUCUUUUAUUACUAACAGAUAUGUAAAAUGAGUUUUAUCCAGAUAUACUAAUGAGCAUAGACAAUUGUUGUUUUUUCCAUAAUUGACCACAAGGGGGAGGCAAUUCCAUUUCCAAUAAUGAACACUCAGCAGCAGCAUAUGAGAGAGGCAGAGAAAAGAAGCCUUGACAACAAUACUUAAAGGAACACUAUAGUCACCUAAAUUACUUUAGCUAAAUAAAGCAGUUUUAGUGUAUAGAUCAUUCCCCUGCAAUUUCACUGCUCAAUUCACUGUCAUUUAGGAGUUAAAUCACUUUGUUUCUGUUUAUGCAGCCCUAGCCACACCUCCCCUGGCUAUGAUUGACAGAGCCUGCAUGAAAAAAAAAAGGCAGGAGAGGUGGUGACAGUGGGUACUAAUAUGGUUGAAUACAGUUUUGUAUUACUAGCACUUUAGUUUUCCAUUAAUAUUAAGGACAGGGAAAUAUUUAAUGCAGUCAUCAAACUCUGAUCUCUAAUAAGCAUUUGCUGAAACAGUAUUUCCUGCUUAUUUAGCAUUUGCAGAUUCAUACAGUCCUGACGUGUUUAAAUCAGGGGGUCCAUAUUAAUGUAGGAUCUUUAAAGGUUUGCUUUUUAUGACAUCUUUAUUUUAUCACUGGUCAUUAAAGUUAAAGGGAGCACAUCAUUUCCUUUUAGCCUAAAGAGAACUCUCACUGGAACUAAAAUACCAACCCACACCAGGAGAAACAGCCCAGAUCAAUAACACUCCUUCAUCAAACUCAUCAAAAUUUACAGACACUGUGCAUUACAGUCGGUAGAAUUCUCCUGGCACCCAUCACACCCAGAUUCAGUCUGCCAGAUAUUGAAUCAUGAUUCCGGAGUCCAAUGAAUUUACACCACUCCAGGCAACACUUGGCAUUGUGCAUGUUGAUGUGAAGCUUGUGUACAGCUGCUCAGCCAUUGAAAUCCAAUUCAUGAAUCUCCCAAUGCACAAGUCUUGUGCUAUGUGGCUUCCAGAGGUAGUUUGGAAUUAUGCUGAAGUGUGAAAAUAAUAGACCUCCACAGAUCCUUCUGUUCACCAGCCAUAGCAACCACCGCAAAUUCACAGUGGUUGUUAUGGUAACUCCCUAGCCGGUGCUACUAGCGCUGGCUCGGGAGUUUAGGAAUGGAGUGACUCAUGUCCCUCUGUUCAGACAACAGAAUGCUGCUCAGACCGGGUAAAGGAGAGGUGCAACGGAGGUAGGUGCUUUAGAAGUGUAAAACCCACUUCUGUAAUGAGAUUGCAGCAAGGGAGUGGUGACAGGUUCCCUAAACUACUACUGAAAAUGCCAAAAAAAAUGUUUACAAAAAAAAAAAAAAGUGGAAAGGUGCGAUUCAGAUUACAUCAUCAUUGGUAUUGAAUCAUCACCAGCAGUUACACAUACAUAAUUAUCAACUGAGAAGUUGUGAUCAACAUCGUAGGGGACUUAAAUUAAAAUAAAGAAUCUCUAACACACAAAAGUUGAAGUUUCAUCCAAAUCAUAGGAAGAUUGCAGACUGCUCUUGAUGUUGAGCUAGAUCAAAAAAAAAAAAUAUACUGAAAAUUGUAUUUGAUAAUUCUCAGAAACAUCCCAAUCAGGGUGGACAGCAGAGAUGAAUGAAAGUAUCUGCCAUUACUGAGAAAAUAAUAAGAAUAGUGCUUAUACAUUUUCACAUGUUCAAAAUAUUCUUUAAACUAUUUUACAUUUUAAAAUAAAGACACAAUUUCUUUAGAUAUGGAUCUGCAAUUUUUUGGAAGCAUAUAAACAAUGAUACGCAAUUAACGGUUUUCUUAACCGGUUCAUUAUUUAAGAGUGAAGCCAUAUGUCAUUUCUUGGUUUGUCAUCAAAACCUGCAGAACAUACACUUUAUUCUUCAAGUAAAACAGCCAAGGUUAGAGUGUGUUUUCUGUUACUACAACAGUGUGAUCACCUCAUCCUUUUUAACCAGAAACAUUUAAAUGCCAUGUCUUAUAAAAAUACACAAACUGCUGUCCAAUGACCAUUAUCACAUAAUUAAUAUUAGUGAGGAUACAUUUUAACAGAAAUCUCAUUAUCUGGUGUCACAUGGGUGCUUCAUGUGUGUUGUAAAAGGUGCAGUGGCAGCAGUGAGCCCAUACUGCCGGUUUAUUACAUAUUGGUAUGAAACUUAACUCUUAAAGCAUCUCUGUUACCAAAAAUAAACUUCAUCUAAAUCUUCUUAUAUAUAGGUCCUGCUGUCUGAAUCUCUUUACAUUUUAUUUUAUAAAACGCUCUAGUUUUCAUUAAAUACAAAAGAUAAAGUAGGUAUUAUUUCAACUUUGUUAUGGAAUUCAGGUUGGCAAAACUUGACAUUAGACAGUCUAUAGCUGCACUUUUUAUGUAAUCUUUCCAGUAUCGAUGGUCGGCGUCUUCACGCUCUGCACCAAGAUGCUGAAUGCUCCUCAGAGAUGAAUUGAGCAAAUGCUUUUCUUGGAGGAGAGAUUGAUUGGCACAGUGUGGCACUGGCUGCACAUGCGAAACAGUAGUUUAUUGGUUCUGAUCUUUGUCCUUGAGCAGCAGACACAGUGAUACCUGUGCGGCUAAGAUCAUUGUCACUACAGUAACACCUGUGCAGCAAGUACUAAAUGGCAAGUAAUUUUCUUUAAGUUUACGGAGAGACAGGGAGAUCUAAACUUGCAGGAGACAAUCCAACAUUAGAAAUACCUGUUUGAAUUUCUAACGUGAGUGCUCUUUUAAAGCCAAAACAGCCAAACUGAAAACAGAAUUCAUUGUACUCCUAAUUUGCCCUUUUAUUUUGAUUUCCCAGAAGAUCUCACUUUAGUGAAUAACCCUGAUAAAUAAAUACCUCUUCAUAGUGCAGCUUCAGGCUUACCCUUGCUCUUGGAGGACAGCCAACAUUAACUUGCUUUGGUCAAAACCACAGCUUAUCUGAUCAAAACCUGUGCAGGUAAUCAAAAAGCUAGGCUGUGUUUAUAAAUCGUGACAUAUGCAAGCAUAGGGCAUAUAAAAAAUGAAGCCUGGGAUGGUUUCAGAUCUCAAAUUGUGCAAGGUAUUAGCAGACAAUUGGUGCUACCGAGCCAAGACAGCAUAAAAUGGGUGCCACCAGAGAGCAAAGAUAAGCAAGGAGAUAUGUAAAUCACUAAAAGAUAAUUUGAUAAAAGUCAUAUUGGGCAACUUCAAAAUUAGAAAAAGUUGCACACUCCAAGCUGCUGAUCAAUACCAGACCAUGUGAUGAAAAAUGAAAAGAAAAGUGAUCCAGGGUGCACCCUCACUUCUAAGGAAAAGAUGAGUGCUCACCAGAAUGAUCCCAUAUGUUGUGUUUCAACCAGCUCCUUGGUGUUUAUGAGGUUUGACAAAUCCCAGGCAACUGGUUAAAAGGGUAGUCUAUGCACCAUAAUUACUACAAUAUUUGAGUGGUUUGAUCAAAAUUACGCAUCUGCAAGGUAUCUAUGGCACAGGCCACACAAAUCAUACUGCCACAUUUGCAUGAUCAAUUUUGUACAAGUUUGGAUUACAGUGAUAGGUUGAACGUCAUUAAGUGGUUACGGUGCCUUGCUCCUUUAACAAAGUACACUGAUCAGCCACAACAUUAAGACCACUGGUGAGUAAAGUGAAUAAAAUUGAUUAUAUUGUUACAAUGGCACCUGUCAAGGGGUGGAAUAUAUUAGGCAGCAAGUGAACAGUUAGUAUCUCUGGAUCAGAAUAUCUCCAAAAUGGCAAGACUCUUGGUGUGUUCCCAGUAUGUAGUGUUACUGUUUAGUACCUUUCAAAUGUGGUAUUAGAAUCAAUUGAAGAAAAAAAAAAAUGGGAUUUUAAAACUUAACCUUUACUGGUUUAUAAUAAAAUUGUUUACUUUGAGAUAUAUAUCUUCACCAUUACAUAAAAUCAACAACUAUAGUUGUUUGGAUAUGGAAUAGCAACUAGAAUGGGUGAAGUCUUGUAUUAACCCUUUACUUUCAAGCACAUCUGAUAGUGUUAACCCUUCUGUUGCGGUUUAGUUAAUAAAAUGUAGAAAUAAAUUUGCAGCCAAGGAUUACUGUAUUGAAAGGAGUAAAGUUAACCCUUAGUUAGCUGUCUCUUAAAAUGUAAUCAAUUUAUAAGUAGG
Molecule: non-coding RNA, 4642 nt
Organism: Pelobates cultripes (western spadefoot toad)
Lineage: Eukaryota; Metazoa; Chordata; Amphibia; Anura; Pelobatidae
Source: the annotation of a GenBank genome assembly